This is a long non-coding RNA of Cyprinus carpio carpio, 5502 nucleotides long. The record is from Ensembl. NCBI's taxonomy places the organism in Eukaryota, Metazoa, Chordata, Actinopteri, Cypriniformes, Cyprinidae.
CUUGAGUAUUGUGGUGUAAUAUAAAAACAGAAGCAUGGUAUUUUUUUACACCCAAAAACAUGACUUGUAAAACUCUUUUUAGUUUUGCGAGGGCCAAAACGGCUAGAUCAGACGCAAUACUGCAUGAGAGCAAUGCCGGUUUGAUUUGUUGAUGUUUUAGGCUUUUAUUUAUUUAGUUUCAGUUAGCGGUGUGAAACUGUCUGGUGUUAUGCGUUCAGACUGAAUCGGGUCCUCAGGAAGCGUUUGAGCUGCGGCGUCUCUCCGAGAGCAGAAGCACACCAGGUGUCCCUGCAAUUAGCUGCUGUGAGAUUGAUGAGAUCUGGCUGGGCUGAUGGAAUCACUCUUAUUACAUUACAUCUGGACCGAUGUCCAUUUAUUUAUGAAGCACCGGCGGAGCAGGUGACUGCGCCGUGAUGGAAAUGAUGAGGUUUAUGGUAGCGUGGCCCUCGUUUGAACUGUGACAGUGCUCUGUGGGCUUGUGCUGCAUUCCCAGGCUGCGUGUUGCUGACGGCGCUCCUGAUGCUGCUGCGUUCUUCUCCAGGAGGAUUAGACACUUCCUGAAUUACAUGUUGUCGGCCAUGAGAAGGGUUGUUUGCAUCUGAAUACUCUCAUGUUCAGAACGAGCAAUAAGAUGGGAGACUUUAUCAGAACUGCCCACUAAUUAACAGAAAUCACAAUAACUAUUGCAUAGAGGGAUCUCGUUAAAUCGAAAAGCAGAGUGAUCAGGGUGGCAAAGUGCUAAUUAAGCUUUGAAUUGGGGGAGGGGGGGCUGCAUCAACAGAGCACAGGGAUGAUCCUCCACUGUCUGUUUACAUCGCUGCAGUGCAUUCUGGGAAGUCACCCCACAACCUGGGGCAGGCGUACUGUUCUGCUGCUCCGGGGAAAAAAAAGUGUGUAAGACAGAUAAAACCAGCACAAGUAAAUCCCUUCGGCUCUGUGUUUACGGACACAGACGGCUUUAUCUGCACUAAUGCCAUCAACAUUUAAAGCAGGAAACUUUAUUUCCAAGAACUAAACCUUUUCACACAAUAUGUGAAGGCUGAGAGAUUUGAGAAGAAUAAGAGAACAAUUGACUGAAACAAAAAGAAAUGUAUGAGAAGGUGGAGGGGCAGAGGAUCAGACAGACGGGAGGAACCAAGACUCAUUUACACAGAUGAACAUGUGGACGAAAGUCAGGUGGUUCCAGGUGCACCUGUCGUAGGCCUACUCUUCCUCCAGGCUGGGAACAUUGCCCCCUUGUAGUGCCUGAACUUCGGCUGAGUCGGGUGGCAGCCUCCCAUUUGUUAAAUGCUACAUGAGGUGACUGGAGCUUCUCUGCCCGUCGCUGAGAGGACAGAUGGAGAGGGCACGGAAUGUUCUGGAGAGCCGAUGGUAAUUACAAGCCAGUAGCAGAGCCGAUGGCUUCCGCAGGGAACAGGCCUGAGCGGAAGCGCUCGAGUGGCGUGGGGGGUUGUUUGCCCUUUGGCUGCUCAGCAUGCUGUUGCUCUGCGCGGUGAGCUCGUGUUGGGACUGCCGUCACUGCACAUUUCUCCGCUCUUCAUGUCAGGUGAGGUGUGUGUGGGAACAUGGUGACAUUUGUGAGCUUUUGUCAUUCACAAGGAGUUUAACUCUUCAGAUGUGUUUCCAGUUCUAUUCGUUUCAGUAGAUAACUGAUGGAAGUCGCAGAUGUGUACAAAAGAAUUUUAUGGAUCAGUCCACCCAAAAAUAAAAUAAUUAUCAUCAUUUACUCAUGUCGUGAUCAAAAGUGAUAUUUACAGUGAGUUUUCUUCAUACAUCAUAUCUCUCAUUUUAUAUUCUCUGACACUUGUCUCCUUGGUAACCAAGUACACUAACUUUUAAAAACUUACAGUAUUUAAUGACAUUAUUGUUGUUUGUGUACACCAAUUGUAUAUAAAUCAUAAAUUUGUUGAUUAUUUUUAUUUCACUUUUUUUCCACUCAAUUCUGAUACUUAAUUCUGAUUUUUUUUUAUGGAUUUAUUAUAGUUUAAUAUAAGGCUACAACAAUAAAAUCACAUUUAAUCAUUUAAUAAUAUUUCUAUUCAUUGGAUUUUAUAAUUCAUAAUUGUAACCUUGUACUUCACAACUGCAACCUUUUUCACGUCAUAUAUUAAGCUUUCUCACAAUAACUAAUAUUUCUUAAAAUUGUGACUUUAUAUCUCAUAACUCUGUCUUUUUCCCAUAUUUUAAAAGUUUUAUAUUUCAUUUCUUUUAAUAAUAUAAAAUAGAUUUGAAAUGUAGCAACAAUGAAUGAGGGCAUACUAAAAUAUUUCAGUGCCUUGUAAACUUUUUAUCAUGAAUCCAUCAUUACUACCCAUGUAUACAUUUUUAUUUGUCAGUUUUAUUAUUUUACCCUUGUCCCUGACUUUCAGUCUUAACUAUAACAAGCCAUUAUAAAAAUAUGAAUUAAUAAAUAUUUAAAACUAUGAUGUGAACAAAGAGUUAAAUAAAAAUAAUCCAUUUUGAUGUUUAUUGUGUAAAAAUUACUUUAUGAUUUUUUUUUUACACAAAUUAUGACUGUACCUCAUUUGUGGUGCCCACAAACAAGUUAUUUUGUAGUUACUGUACUUGGUUACAAUAGAGACAAAAUUGUUUCAAUGUAACCUUUAUAAAAAGGGGGCAUUAAAUCUGUUAGUUUUAAUAAAACCAAACCUUAAGAUAUAAAAAGUGCAAGAAGUUGGAGAAACACCCUUAUAUCUUUUCACAUCUGAUCAGUCAUCUGCUCAACAUCUCAAGAGCGUCCUGUCUGCAGGUGAUUAAUUACUUUGUCAGCCGUCAGUCUCAGAAAAUGAGAGGUGAGGGGGAAAAAAGAAGAAAAGGGAGGAGUAUGAGGGAAAGUGAGCGGGCACAGCUUUGCAGGAUGCUGAAAUGUAGCUCUGCAAUCCCCAUAGGGCUCAUAUUAAUGAGGGUGCAGAGAAAGUUAACAACUCACAUUAAGCACUAAUGCAUUCUUUAAUUAAUUAAGUGCUCAUUUAUAAAUAUCCAACACAUCCUGUACACGUUCAAUCUGACUUAACAAUAACAUAUUAACGAUUCCUGUUCCAGGCAUAACAUAUUUAAAUGUCAUUGAUACUCCAACAGCUAGAUAAACAUACUCUGAAACUCUAUUAACAGCAUUAGGUGAUGUCUGGAGCAGCACGAAUUCCCCUGCAAUUCUCUCAUAAUUACAAAUUAAUUUCACAUUUAAUGUAUGAACACAGCCAUGGUGAAAUUUAGUUAAUUAGUUGAUUAAAAUGCAUAGUUCAAAGUAAAAACUGAGCAAUUUUGAGCCAUUUAGUGAAUCAUUUUGUAGUUAUUGGACAGCUUUAACACUCUUCCUUUUCAUUAUUUUAUAAGCAGGUUCUUAGACCUGGAUGAUGCAGUUAAGACUCAAAUGUGUGCAAUACUAUAGAAAAUGCCUUUAUUAUCAUUACUGUUUGAUAAAGCGGCCACAUUCAGCUCAGACAGAACUGCCAGCGCAAAUGUAAGUAACCUAUCACACACACACACACACACACACACACACACUGAGCUUUGAGGUGAGUGUUAAUCUCUGAGGUGUGUUAGGAAAGCACAGAAGGAAGGAGAUAUCAAAUAAAGCUCAUGUAAAAAUAUUCUAGAGAAAUGAUUUACUAAAAAGCAUCCUAGUAAAAUUUAGAUAAGUAAAAACUCCAUGUGCCAUUCCAGUUUUAGCCCAAUACGAUGGGUUUCAUGAGAAGGAUAACAUGAUAAAGACGUGUUUGAACAUAUAAUCUCUGAGGAAAGAUUCCUCUGGGUUAAAUUCAAAAGAAUCACUUUAUGCACAUCGUUUUUCUCAGCAAAAGCAGGAAUACAUCUCUCACAUAGCUCUCUCAUACCUUAAUACUGAGACAAAGAAACACAUACAAGCUGCUAAAAAUAAACUGGCAUGCAUAGUCAGAAUGUUGACAAUAAAACCAAAAAAACACCCCUCAGGAUGUUAACAAUCCCGACACUCGAAAAUAAAAGCAACCCUGUUAAUAAAACGCUUCGUUUCCAGACAAAAUGCUUAACAGCCGUCUCUCAGAGUCGGUUUCAACAUGUUUGAAAUCAAUCAGAAUAUUUAAACCCGUGGAAGCAGACAAUCUGUGUAGAGCUGCGCACCUCCUCAUUGGAGAGGAACUUCACUUUUGGCACAGUGUGUUUCAUUUUUCAUGAAGCUGCACCUCCUUGUUCCCUGCAGGCGUCUCCUCGGUGUUCUUGCUGAAUGUGUGUGUGCUGAACAAAAGCCUUGGUUGUUUACGUCAAGGUAUCUCCUUGCGGUUGGGUGAUGAAGAGCAGGUGGCCUCAUUUGCAGAGAGCACUUCCUCAGAAGCAGCACCUUCACUGCCUCCUCUUCCUCCACGUGGCUGUCGGGCAGGCGAGGGCGAUUGCGUUCCCCUCCCGCGCCGUGCCGCCUGUCCGCCUGUGGGACCUGCUCCGUGGGCUUUUCAUCAGCUGCCAUUUUCACCAGCAUGCAGUAAUUUCAUGGCUCAUUGCAAGCGCUGAAAACCUUUGAAACUGCAAAUGUUAACUUUUGCCUGGCCCGGAGCCAUUUAGAAAGCGAUUAAUUCGGCAAACAGACGUGAGCCACUUUCUCCUCCCAAGUUUUCGCAUAAUUUUCCAACCCUUUCUAUCUGGGAUUUGCAUUGCAGGGAACUCGCAGGACAAGGAUAAUAACCAUUCCUGUUAAUUGUGGUUUGGUGAAGAAACAAGGCCUGUCGCUCUGCAGUCUGAUCUACCCGGCUGUCCCAAUCCAGUCCAAACAGGGAGAAUGAACAGAGAAUCGGAUCGAGAAUCAGAGAAAACUGUGUACAAGACUCUUUGAAGGGAGUGGAUAGGACGAAAUGCUGUUGAGGGACUGACAUUGAGAAACAUUUCUGGAUGGCAUGAAGGUUGAUGUGGCUGGCCUCCAAAAUCAUCGUGCCUGAGACCACACAGAUGGGGAUGAGAUAAAACUUCUUGAAAGACUCCAUUCCCUGUUGUUCUCUCACAUCAAAAUCCAGCGAUAUAUUUGUGUUGCGCAGAGAAGAAAGACAUGGAGAAGAAACCACAACCAAACUUCAUCAGUUCUCGCAUAUAUCGCCAACAUGCCAGCUCAAGACAGCAAAACACAAACCGAAGACGAGCUUCAAAAUGGAGGGACUGAAAAGAGGAAAGGAUGAGUGCAGAGAAAACAAAGAAACGGAGGAAGAAGGGAAGAAAAAGGCAGAGAGAAGAAGAUGGACAUGAAUGCAUGGCCUUGAUGCUCGUCCACUCCUCCAGCUGUCUAACAGCGCCCACACACACACACAGUCACAGUCACCUCCUCUGGAUAGCAGCCAGUCCCAUAAUGCCAGUUGGUGUGGCAUCAUACAGCAGAAAAUCAGCCUUGCGACUUCAAGAGCCGCCGUCGAUGCUGAUGCUGAAGUUCAGACGGCAGUAAAUCAUAUUUAAAUGUGCUGGAGGCAGACGUGGAUAUAUUUAGCUGCACACACAACUCGUUUACAGUGAUUUUGAAAUGUGCAAAGCAAAAAUAUGCCAUUGUUA